Molecule: long non-coding RNA, 2458 nt
Filed under: Sus scrofa (pig)
Lineage: Eukaryota; Metazoa; Chordata; Mammalia; Artiodactyla; Suidae
Description: lncRNA (ENSSSCG00065075074.1)
Source: RNAcentral
UUUUCUUUUCUUUUUUUUUUUGGCCACACCUGCAGCCUGAGAAAGUCCCAGGGCCAGAGAUCGAACCUACACCACAGUAGUGACCCAAGCUGCUGCAGUGACAAUACCAGAUCCUUACCCACUGAGCCAGCAGGAAACUCCUACGUGUCUAUUUUAAGAGCCUGUCAUCAGAUCUCUGAAUUGGAGCAUCUUUAAGUUUUAUUAAAGUACAGCGGUUUUAAAGGCUGUGAUUGUUUCUGCUGCACAGCAAAGUGACCGGAGUCAUACAACCACACACACACAUUCUCUCUCAGAUUCUUUUCCCACCUAGAUUACCACAGGACACCAGCUCGUGUCAACCUCUUUUUCAAAUAAAGGGAAUAGAGAAAUUCAGAAAGUAGGAAAAGCUGUCUACCAGCAAGCAAUAAGAUCAAAGGAAUGCCAAGACAAGAAUUUGAGAAGCUGGUGGUUGGUAAAAAGAGAUCGUGUGCGAAAUUCCCAAUACGGGAACAUCAAAGGUCACUUAAUCUGGAAGGGGCCACUCUUCAGCAUCAAAAGACAGAAUCAGCUGAGAAGAAACAAGAUUCCCAAGACGGUGCCCAGUUCUGAUAGAAAUCCGCAUUCCAACUGGCUGAGUAUCUGUGGAAAACCACCUUUCCCAGGAGAGUGAAAAAUACAGGAGUCACUUCCAACAUAGAAAGUUUCAGAGACAGAAUCCUUGUGUUUAGACAAGACCCAUUCUGCCGUGCACAGAGUUCAAGAGUUGAGCAGCCCCAGUGAUGGAUGCCUAAGCUACACAGACAGAGACCGUCAGUGCUGGUUUAUCAGCAUGCACAGGACUCCCAGGGAUCAGCAGCCCCUGCACUGGCCCACCUCACAGACCUGUCUCAUCUCUGUCUGGCCAGGCGCACCCCUUCAUUCAAAUGGUCUCAGGAGAGGCUCCCAUUGGAUGCUGGGCGUCAGCGGCUUGGCAGACAUCACCUUUCCUUCCUGAUGGUCCUGGGCCUGAAGGUUUCACGUGGCUGCCAUCACAGAGCCCUCGGCUUUCCUGGGUCCACUCCAACACAGAAAAGGCUUUGUUGUCGGAGUUAACCUCCCAGCCUGAACGCCUGGAGCUGGAAGAGCCAUUUCCUUGUGGCAAUGCUGUUGCCAUAGUUACGAGGCCCUCCUCGGGUGCUUUCCAGAUUACAGAUACUGCUUGAAAAACAAACGAGCUUCUUCGUCUCUAUCCGCACCGUGUCUGUUGUUUUAUUCUUGGAUGGAAAAACCAUGGUGACCCUCGGACAGGGAAGGUAGCCCCAUCCUGGCGCCAGGAUUCACCAGCACAGUGAGUAUGGCGAGGAUUUAUCAUCAAUCGUGCGCACCCCGUGGUUUGGCAAAUGGAAUUUACGCUUUUACAUAAAUGCCUUGACAUUCUGUCUGUCUCACAUCUUCCUGCUAGUUACUUCAAUAAGAAAAUAAAACCGCUCCGCUUCAAACACAUGUAUUACGGAUAAAGCAAGAAGUGACUUAUUACUGUUACACGGAUUUUAAAAAAAUAAGUAAAAAUUAUCGUGAUCAACUAAAAACCGUAAAUUCUUUGCCGGUGAUCAGAAUUAGCCCAGGUGAAGCACAGAUGGACCGUGCCGGGCCCUAAAGGAAAGCAAAGAUCUCAGAGGGAGCACCAGCAUUGCUUCAGCAUCCCCGCUCCAGGAGGGGUCUCUCGUAGAGAACCUGCUGGAAGCCGGCCCCACAUACCAACCAUGGAUAGGAAGGUAGCACGGGCUGAGACAGGACGAGCCUCGUGUGUGCACCUGCCAUUGCAAUGCUCAGGCAACCCAAUCUACACAAGUACAACAGCGCACCAGGGGCAUCAUUAUUGACCUUGGAAUGCAAAACCCGCAAGGACUGAGCACCACUGAAUCCAUGUCAAGAGGAAAAUUAUGUGUGUUUGGGGGGGGGGGGUCUGUUUUUGAGUUUCUUUUGCACAAUGAAGACUUCUGGGUAAGUGGCUAUGGAGGCACAAUGCCUGAUGAGAAUUAAAAGCACCAGCUUGGAAGUCAGGCAAGCCUGGAGUCAACUCCCAGCCCCCCUCCCCCCCACCAGCCCCGAGGACUUAGGUAAGCCACGGAGUGUUUCUGAGUGUCAGUUUCCUCGUGGCAAAGCAGGAAUGAUGAUACCAAUUGUAUGAGAUAAUGUAAUGAGAUACUGCGGGUAAAAUGCUUGAGGCAACACUCAAGACACAACGUGGUAAACGAUGGAUAAGCGGUAUAACAGAUGGAUAAGCGGUAUAACAAUGAGAAGAAAGCGGGUGGGGGAGGGGGAGGGUCCGCGGAAGGCGGUGUCCCCAACAGAAGGAAGAAGGCAGAGAGAGGUGGACGAUUCCGAGAAGGAGCAGUGGUGGGAGGAUUCACGCUGUUUACAAUAUCUGUCAUGUACCAACGGGGUGGAAACUGUGAGUCAUGGCCUCGAGGUGCAAAGUGACCUGGGUUCAAAUCCU